Molecule: non-coding RNA, 73 nt
Organism: Parelaphostrongylus tenuis
Lineage: Eukaryota; Metazoa; Nematoda; Chromadorea; Rhabditida; Metastrongylidae
Source: the annotation of a GenBank genome assembly
GCGUCGGUGGUGUAGUGGUAGAGCACGCGUCCCCGGAUAGGAUGAAACGAGUGUUCGAUUCUUGCCUGAGGCC